This 477-nucleotide ribosomal RNA is filed under the name uncultured bacterium. RNAcentral's name for it is "partial 16S ribosomal RNA". It matches the Rfam family "Bacterial small subunit ribosomal RNA", at positions 28 to 507 of the family's 1533-position model. The record is from RNAcentral.
GAUUAACGCUGGCGGCGUGCAUAACACAUGCAAGUCGAACGAUGAAACUUUAAUGAACCCUUCGGGGAGAAUUAAAGCGGAUUAGUGGCGAACGGGUGAGUAACGCGUGAGUAACCUGCCUUACACAAGGGGAUAGCCUUUGGAAACGAAGAAUAAUACCCUAUAAAACCAUAAAAGCACAUGCAAUUAUGGUCAAAGUGGUAGCGGUGUAAGAUGGACUUGCGUCUGAUUAGCUAGUUGGUGAGAUAAAAGCCCACCAAGGCAACGAUCAGUAGCCGGCUUGGGAGAGUGGACGGCCCCAUUGGGACUGAGACACGGCCCAGACUCCUACGGGAGGCAGCAGGGGGGAAUUUUGCACAAUGGGGGAAACCCUGAUGCAGCGACGCCGCGUGAUUUAGAAGGCCUUCGGGUUGUAAAAAUCUUUUGUAUAGGAAGAAAAUGACAGUACUAUACGAAUAAGGUCCGGCUAAUUACGUG